This 253-nucleotide ribosomal RNA is filed under the name uncultured bacterium. RNAcentral describes it as "partial 16S ribosomal RNA". It matches the Rfam family "Bacterial small subunit ribosomal RNA", at positions 524 to 776 of the family's 1533-position model. The record is from RNAcentral.
UACAUAGGGGGCAAGCGUUGUCCGGAAUGACUGGGUGUAAAGGGUGUGUAGGUGGCUUAUUAAGUUGGAAGUGAAAGCCCGGGGCUUAACUCCGGAACUGCUUUCAAAACUGGUUGGCUUGAGUGUGGGAGAGGUUAGUGGAACUCCUAGUGUAGCGGUGGAAUGCGUAGAUAUUAGGAAGAACAUCAGAGGCGAAGGCGACUAACUGGAACAUUACUGACACUGAAACACGAAAGGGUGGGUAGCAAACAGG